Molecule: microRNA precursor, 171 nt
Filed under: Oryza glumipatula
Lineage: Eukaryota; Viridiplantae; Streptophyta; Magnoliopsida; Poales; Poaceae
Description: MIR812 microRNA precursor family
Rfam family: MIR812 microRNA precursor family
Source: Rfam by way of RNAcentral
AAAAAGGCAAACAUUAGAUUUUCGUGUCCGUCUUAUAUGAAAUUUUUUUAUAAUUAGUAUUUUUAUUGUUGUUAGAUGAUAAAACAUGAUUAAUAAUGACUUAUCUUUUUAAUUUUUUUUGUAAUUUUUUCAAAUAAGACGGACGGUUGGACGGAGGGAGUAGUACCAAAA